This 2930-nucleotide ribosomal RNA is filed under the name Escherichia coli. RNAcentral's name for it is "23S ribosomal RNA". It matches the Rfam family "Bacterial large subunit ribosomal RNA". The record is from RNAcentral. Lineage: Bacteria; Pseudomonadati; Pseudomonadota; Gammaproteobacteria; Enterobacterales; Enterobacteriaceae.
GGGUUGUGAGGUUAAGCGACUAAGCGUACACGGUGGAUGCCCUGGCAGUCAGAGGCGAUGAAGGACGUGCUAAUCUGCGAUAAGCGUCGGUAAGGUGAUAUGAACCGUUAUAACCGGCGAUUUCCGAAUGGGGAAACCCAGUGUGUUUCGACACACUAUCAUUAACUGAAUCCAUAGGUUAAUGAGGCGAACCGGGGGAACUGAAACAUCUAAGUACCCCGAGGAAAAGAAAUCAACCGAGAUUCCCCCAGUAGCGGCGAGCGAACGGGGAGCAGCCCAGAGCCUGAAUCAGUGUGUGUGUUAGUGGAAGCGUCUGGAAAGGCGCGCGAUACAGGGUGACAGCCCCGUACACAAAAAUGCACAUACUGUGAGCUCGAUGAGUAGGGCGGGACACGUGGUAUCCUGUCUGAAUAUGGGGGGACCAUCCUCCAAGGCUAAAUACUCCUGACUGACCGAUAGUGAACCAGUACCGUGAGGGAAAGGCGAAAAGAACCCCGGCGAGGGGAGUGAAAAAGAACCUGAAACCGUGUACGUACAAGCAGUGGGAGCCUCUUUAUGGGGUGACUGCGUACCUUUUGUAUAAUGGGUCAGCGACUUAUAUUCUGUAGCAAGGUUAACCGAAUAGGGGAGCCGAAGGGAAACCGAGUCUUAACUGGGCGUUAAGUUGCAGGGUAUAGACCCGAAACCCGGUGAUCUAGCCAUGGGCAGGUUGAAGGUUGGGUAACACUAACUGGAGGACCGAACCGACUAAUGUUGAAAAAUUAGCGGAUGACUUGUGGCUGGGGGUGAAAGGCCAAUCAAACCGGGAGAUAGCUGGUUCUCCCCGAAAGCUAUUUAGGUAGCGCCUCGUGAAUUCAUCUCCGGGGGUAGAGCACUGUUUCGGCAAGGGGGUCAUCCCGACUUACCAACCCGAUGCAAACUGCGAAUACCGGAGAAUGUUAUCACGGGAGACACACGGCGGGUGCUAACGUCCGUCGUGAAGAGGGAAACAACCCAGACCGCCAGCUAAGGUCCCAAAGUCAUGGUUAAGUGGGAAACGAUGUGGGAAGGCCCAGACAGCCAGGAUGUUGGCUUAGAAGCAGCCAUCAUUUAAAGAAAGCGUAAUAGCUCACUGGUCGAGUCGGCCUGCGCGGAAGAUGUAACGGGGCUAAACCAUGCACCGAAGCUGCGGCAGCGACGCUUAUGCGUUGUUGGGUAGGGGAGCGUUCUGUAAGCCUGUGAAGGUGUGCUGUGAGGCAUGCUGGAGGUAUCAGAAGUGCGAAUGCUGACAUAAGUAACGAUAAAGCGGGUGAAAAGCCCGCUCGCCGGAAGACCAAGGGUUCCUGUCCAACGUUAAUCGGGGCAGGGUGAGUCGACCCCUAAGGCGAGGCCGAAAGGCGUAGUCGAUGGGAAACAGGUUAAUAUUCCUGUACUUGGUGUUACUGCGAAGGGGGGACGGAGAAGGCUAUGUUGGCCGGGCGACGGUUGUCCCGGUUUAAGCGUGUAGGCUGGUUUUCCAGGCAAAUCCGGAAAAUCAAGGCUGAGGCGUGAUGACGAGGCACUACGGUGCUGAAGCAACAAAUGCCCUGCUUCCAGGAAAAGCCUCUAAGCAUCAGGUAACAUCAAAUCGUACCCCAAACCGACACAGGUGGUCAGGUAGAGAAUACCAAGGCGCUUGAGAGAACUCGGGUGAAGGAACUAGGCAAAAUGGUGCCGUAACUUCGGGAGAAGGCACGCUGAUAUGUAGGUGAAGUCCCUCGCGGAUGGAGCUGAAAUCAGUCGAAGAUACCAGCUGGCUGCAACUGUUUAUUAAAAACACAGCACUGUGCAAACACGAAAGUGGACGUAUACGGUGUGACGCCUGCCCGGUGCCGGAAGGUUAAUUGAUGGGGUCAGCGCAAGCGAAGCUCUUGAUCGAAGCCCCGGUAAACGGCGGCCGUAACUAUAACGGUCCUAAGGUAGCGAAAUUCCUUGUCGGGUAAGUUCCGACCUGCACGAAUGGCGUAAUGAUGGCCAGGCUGUCUCCACCCGAGACUCAGUGAAAUUGAACUCGCUGUGAAGAUGCAGUGUACCCGCGGCAAGACGGAAAGACCCCGUGAACCUUUACUAUAGCUUGACACUGAACAUUGAGCCUUGAUGUGUAGGAUAGGUGGGAGGCUUAGAAGUGUGGACGCCAGUCUGCAUGGAGCCGACCUUGAAAUACCACCCUUUAAUGUUUGAUGUUCUAACGUUGACCCGUAAUCCGGGUUGCGGACAGUGUCUGGUGGGUAGUUUGACUGGGGCGGUCUCCUCCUAAAGAGUAACGGAGGAGCACGAAGGUUGGCUAAUCCUGGUCGGACAUCAGGAGGUUAGUGCAAUGGCAUAAGCCAGCUUGACUGCGAGCGUGACGGCGCGAGCAGGUGCGAAAGCAGGUCAUAGUGAUCCGGUGGUUCUGAAUGGAAGGGCCAUCGCUCAACGGAUAAAAGGUACUCCGGGGAUAACAGGCUGAUACCGCCCAAGAGUUCAUAUCGACGGCGGUGUUUGGCACCUCGAUGUCGGCUCAUCACAUCCUGGGGCUGAAGUAGGUCCCAAGGGUAUGGCUGUUCGCCAUUUAAAGUGGUACGCGAGCUGGGUUUAGAACGUCGUGAGACAGUUCGGUCCCUAUCUGCCGUGGGCGCUGGAGAACUGAGGGGGGCUGCUCCUAGUACGAGAGGACCGGAGUGGACGCAUCACUGGUGUUCGGGUUGUCAUGCCAAUGGCACUGCCCGGUAGCUAAAUGCGGAAGAGAUAAGUGCUGAAAGCAUCUAAGCACGAAACUUGCCCCGAGAUGAGUUCUCCCUGACUCCUUGAGAGUCCUGAAGGAACGUUGAAGACGACGACGUUGAUAGGCCGGGUGUGUAAGCGCAGCGAUGCGUUGAGCUAACCGGUACUAAUGAACCGUGAGGCUUAACCUUACAACGCCGAAGGUGUUU